RNAcentral lists this ribosomal RNA (254 nucleotides) under uncultured bacterium. RNAcentral's name for it is "partial 16S ribosomal RNA". It matches the Rfam family "Bacterial small subunit ribosomal RNA", at positions 524 to 776 of the family's 1533-position model. The record is from RNAcentral.
CACGUAGGGGCCAAGCGUUGUCCGGAUUCAUUGGGCGUAAAGAGCUCGUAGGCGGUUCAGUUAGUCGGGUGUGAAAUCUCCGGGCUCAACCCGGAGGGGCCACCCGAUACUGCUGUGACUCGAGUCCGGUAGGGGAGUGGGGAAUUCCUGGUGUAGCGGUGAAAUGCGCAGAUAUCUGGAGGAACACCGGUGGCGAAGGCGGCAUCCUGGACCGGUAUUGACGCUGAGGCGCGAAAGCUAGGGGAGCAAACGGG